RNAcentral lists this transfer RNA (23 nucleotides) under Pristimantis lymani (Lyman's robber frog). RNAcentral's name for it is "partial tRNA-Phe". Lineage: Eukaryota; Metazoa; Chordata; Amphibia; Anura; Strabomantidae. The record is from RNAcentral.
UGGACCCUAACAAGUCCUUUAAA